This 550-nucleotide unclassified non-coding RNA is filed under the name Hevea brasiliensis (rubber tree). Lineage: Eukaryota; Viridiplantae; Streptophyta; Magnoliopsida; Malpighiales; Euphorbiaceae. The record is from RNAcentral.
GGUCACUUUGGGCAGUGCCGAGUUUGUGGCUAUUGUCACUGGCUCUUGCAGGUGUUCGACAAAGAAGCCAAAGCCUCUUCCUUGCAAUUGGGCUGCGUUCAGGGAUACUGGCUUGUAGUCAUAUUUUACAGACUGGUUUCUUUUUGACUUAUUUACCAAAAUUCCCUCCAUGGUUCACGGGGUCUUCUCCAGCUCAACCAUUUAGUGGAGUAGUUGGCCUUGCGUUUGCUUUGUCACUGGCAAUACUUCUGUACCCUGUGGAGCCUCUUCAUAGGAAGAAAAUAGCCAGGAAAAUCAAGGAAUGAAAUGUAUCUAACUUUGUAUUGGCAAAGAUUGGUUAACAUGUAACCCAAAUACAACCUGCUUCUUUAGGGAAGCUGAGAUGUUGGUUGCUUUUGCCGGUUGUCUGGUACAUACUCCAGGUUGCUUAUAUUGUAAAGAGCAAGUGAGAUAAUUGUACUGAAGCAAAAACUGUGGCAGUGGAUCUAUGUUGCCAGGCAGAAAGCUCUCCUUGAGCAAAGUUGUUUAUAAGUGUAUAAAUGAGGCAAAU